This 459-nucleotide ribosomal RNA is filed under the name uncultured Ignavibacteriaceae bacterium. Its description in RNAcentral is "partial 16S ribosomal RNA". It matches the Rfam family "Bacterial small subunit ribosomal RNA", at positions 338 to 794 of the family's 1533-position model. Lineage: Bacteria; Pseudomonadati; Ignavibacteriota; Ignavibacteria; Ignavibacteriales; Ignavibacteriaceae. The record is from RNAcentral.
CCUACGGGGGGCAGCAGUGAGGAAUAUUGGGCAAUGCCCGAAAGGGUGACCCAGCAACGCCGCGUGGAGGAUGAAGGUCGUAAGAUUGUAAACUCCUGUUAGAGGGGACGAAUAACACCGAUCGACUCGGUGCUUGACUGUACCCUCAGAGAAAGCCCCGGCUAACUACGUGCCAGCAGCCGCGGUAAUACGUAGGGGGCAAGCGUUGUCCGGAUUCACUGGGUGUAAAGGGCGCGCAGGCGGGUUAGCAAGUCAGAGGUAAAAUCCUACAGCUAAACUGUAGAACUGCCUUUGAAACUGUUAAUCUUGAGUGCGGAAGAGAGAGACGAAAUUCAAGGUGUAGCGGUAAAAUGCGUAGAUAUCUGGAAGAACACCAGUUGCGAAGGCGGUCUCUUGGUCCGUUACUGACGCUCAGGCGCGAAAGCGGGGGGAGCAAACAGGAUUAGAUACCCUGGUAGU